UUUCAAAAGACAUCAGAAAUUAAAAAAAAAAAAAUCUUAUUCUCUUCUUUAGUUGGGACUCCUACAGAUUCAUACACAUCGGCCAACAGUUUGUUGUGAUCACUGUCUCAUCUGACUCAAAUAAAUCAGCUUGUGUUUCACUUAGUAAUUCCUUUACCAAGCUUAUAACAUACUGCUAAUUAAAAGGUUGUGAUCUGAUAGUGUUUUCACUUAUGCUGAGUUCCAAUGACUUUAAAAGAACUAAUCACACCCACAUUAGAGAUUAAAAUACCACAUUAAUCUUAAAGAGUAACAAUACCAAAAGCAUGAUGAACCUACUGCUGUCACACAUUCUGAGUAAGGAAUCCAUGAGGAUUUUGUGCUGGAGAGAGGGUCUUGGAGGUGAAGACUUGGUUCUUUGCUUCACUCUCCUCUGCAGCCCUCAGUCUGCCUACAGCCCUGUGCAAUGUGGAGUGUGUAGCUUGUAAACUUAGCAUCUUUGUUUUUCUUGCAAAUAAUUUACCAGACAUUGGAGAUGUAUCAUGGUGAGAGAAAGAACGUGGGCUUUUUUCUGGAAAACUAUCAUCCUUCAUCUUCCAGACAGCUUUAAAUAUGUUCUCUUUUCCAACAUUACUGUGUUAAAUGAAAGCCCCAAAAGCAGUUUUCUUACUGAAGGCAGGUGUGCUCACUGGUAAAGCAAAGCCCGCAGCUCCAGUCCAAUUUGUUUCACAAAUAGAGCUCAGGAACCAGCAGGUUCAAGGAGCACCCCAGCUAUCAGCAGUCAAACACUGUAUCCCACAUGCUAAUGUUAAUUUUAAAAACACAGCCCUAAAAUGAAAUUUUUAGAAGGCACAAAGAGUACUGGGAGUGGAAGGAACAGAAAUUUUUGAUGGAGGGAAAUAGCAUUCACACUUUGAUAAGAUCCAAAAAUGCCUUUUCCAAACAGAGGUGCUUUGUAUUACACCAUUCCUGUUGGCUCUUUGGGGGUUUUCCAUUAGAUGUAGGAACUUCUUGCCACAGUAAUAAAGGUCAGGCACUAUUGUGCCUCUUUUAUGAUACUGACUAGCACAAAUCAUGUAUACAAACUCAGGAAGUAUUUAUUUGUGCGGAAUACAUACUUAAAUAGUGGACUACAAAUCAUUUAGAGAUGCCUGUGAUAUGAAUCAUGCCUCAAUUUCAUGGAUAAGUGGAAACAUUAUGCAACUUACUGAGUUUUUAAAGCACUAACGAAUGUGAACUAUACAGCAGACUGGAGCUGGACCUUUUCACCCCUUCUAAUAUAAGCUGUGGCUAUUUAAUAUUCCUCACUAGGGAGUUAUGCUGACCUACAAGUCAGCAAUAUAUUAGGCACCAGAGCCAUGAACCUAGUGAGAACAUAAACUAAACUGAUUUUCAAUUUUGGUACAUUACAAAAAGGACCAUUAUUGUGAGGUUAGAGAUGUCAAAGUUGGUGACCUGGUAUAAUGAAGUAUUCCCUGCCACAUAGUCAUGCAUGAAAAGUAAUUGGAGGCAGUAUAAACUUUUAGAGGCUUAGGACUUUUUCCCUCUUAAAUUAAAUAUUCUUUUCCAUGUAAUUUUUUUUAACUAAAAAUAUACUUUUUUUUGUUAAGCAUCAUAAAAGAAGAAAUGAUGUUCCUGUAAAGUUUGCAGUUGAUGGAGAAAUGUGUGUUUAGGAAUGAGGUCACAUCUUAACGCUUGGGUUACUUCCAUAAGGCACUGAUGAAAAGCAAGUUGCUACCUGCCAGCUAGGAAUGACAUUAAAAUAUUAUGGCAGCAUGUGACCAGCUUUAGAGCUUAAAAUCCUGAAAGGACAAUGUCCCCUUUGAAGAACAUUCCUGAAGAUCACUUUACAGUUUCUGCUAAGCUUUAAAACAAAGAGUAGACUACUUUAUGUCUAAGAAGCAAUGAUUAAAGUUGUACCUUCUUGGCUGCAAUGUUCACAUCUGAAAACCCACCCCUAAAGUGUACACUGGUCUUUCAGCUUGUCCAUCAGACAUGUGUACUAGCACUUUAUCUAGGGAAUGGUCCUUUAAUACUGUGGACCCCAUGCUUCUGGGCUUCAUUUAUGGCUCCACAUCCUGACUUUCUGCACUGGAUUUGACCAACUUACUUCUGAUUUCUUCUGGUACAGCAUCAUGGGAGUGGGCACAGCAUCUCUCCCCAGACUGCAGAGGGCACUCCUAUAUAAGAAGGAAUUGCAGUUUCCAGGCUCAUUUACUUUUUGCCUUGACAAUUCCUUGUAAUUUUUCUCUUUUAAUAAUUAAUGACACUCUUAUUGCACUAAAAGGAAAAUCUUAUUAUUUUUGACAAUUGGUUUUGUUAUGAUUAUUUAAUUUCCCCCUCUCCCCAAGUUUAUACAAUUACAAUGGCUGUCAGUGCUCAUAUCGUGUUCGGGUCAUCAGCUUCAGAAAUUAAACAUACACAGAAGGACAACCUAUUAAUAUGCCAUCCUGAGGCAUGACUUGAGCACAGCAGAACAGGGAAAGCAUAGAUAAGGACAGAGAUGGCUUUUGCCAUGUGCCUGGGAAGCAAGAGAAAUGCUGUCAUCCAUGGAGCAAUACAAAAACCCCUUUCCUCUUGCCCAUCUCCAGGAUGGUCUGUUGGAAGUACUAUUUUGGUGUGGAUUUCGGCUAUGACUGUGAGAACAGAGGCAGUUUCAAACAGUUCCUGAGCUUCAUGGGAUGGUUUCUACCCCCUAAACUUACUGGGAGAUGGGGCUGUACAAACAGGCUACAACACAACGUGGCCAGAGCUCUGCAGUUUGCUACAUAGUGGAAGGAGUAUGUUGGAUGAGGACUCUGAGUAGCAAACAGCUGGGUUAAGGCUGCUGUAAUGCAAACUGCUCUCCAGAGCUGUGAUACUGGGCCACUGAAGCUCUGAGAUGCCCCAAGAUUAGGAAGCACUGUAGUUCAUGACAGCCUCACACACACACAUAUAUACACACACUCCCCCCAUUUUUAUCAGCUACAGGUAAAACCUGCAGUGGCAUCAUUCAGCAACUCAGUCCUAAGGCUGGGUAUCUUAAACCUAAGAGAAGUAACUCUAGAAGUUCAGAUGGAGCCUAUGGAGCUCCUACAUUGCAGCUUAAAAGUCCUUCCAAUGUUUGGCUUUGUUUAAUGAGAACAAGUCCGAUCUAGCCUUGGCUUCUGCAGGGGAUACAGCUCACGUAUCAUCCAGCUGGCAACAGAAGGGUCAUUUCAUUUUCUGUGGGUAGUGGUAAGCGAUCUUCCUUUUCACACUUACUUCUGGAAGCUUGUCACAGGGAAAGUGUAAGACCAGGCUAAUGCUAUGCAAAAGGAUGACUGAGCAAGGAGACUGGGACCUGGCUGUCGGAGCAGCACACACUUCCCUGCUGAGCCUUGAAUCACAUUUAUUUUCAAACAAAAAACCCCACAUUUCAAUUGAGAGAUUUGCUCGGUAAAAUGCAUACAUUUCAUAUUUCCUUACCACAUGCUGUAUAUCUCAUACAGUGGUUACGAAAUGAAGGAGUGUGGAAAGGACAGUUAUUCAGGGGAGCUGUAACCAUAAAGAUUCCAUUGAAUGGGAUUUUCACUUGUUCCAAACUGUUAUCUCACCAGAUAAAAACAUUGUGCUUUAUGAUUAAGCUGAUUGUGUUGGACAAGCCAGUCUGUAGCCAUAGAAGCCUGGAUUUUCAAAUGUGCUGAGCACUGGCAGCUGCAACUAAAGUCAGUGGGGACAUUUAAAGUGCAAAUAAUGCAGAGUUCUUUAAAAAUUCAGGCCAGAGGCUGUCUGUGAAAUGGGAGUAUAGAUGCUACCUUGCCUCACAGGGGUGCUCUGAACAUUUGUGGCACAGCUACGUACACUAGUGGGAAGUUACACUGAGAAGUCCAAUAAAAAAAUGCAUUUCUUUUUUCAGAUCAGGGUUUGAUUAUAAAUGAUAAAAAAGGGCCUCAAGCCACAGACUGAAGAGUGAAGAGGAAACAUAUAUGUAGACUGAAUGGAUAAUAGAUCAUCCCCCUACCUCCCAAUAUAAGUUAAAAAUAGUAUUAGGCACACCACAUGAACUGCAUUAAUGUUGUGUAGGCCUAUCUAAUUCUAGCACUCCCUACAGAAUUCCCCCUAAAGCAGGUGGGUGGUACUUUUUAAAAUAUGUGCAAUACAGUAUAAUAAAUAUGCAUAAAUAAUGUGUAUUUGAGUAAAAAUCUUCAUAGAUAGUCCAGUAAGGGGAAAGGAAGAUGAUUAAGGAACUGAUGCAUCUGACAUGCAAGGGGAGGCUGAAGAGAUGGGACUGCUGAGCCUGGAGGAGGCUCAUGGUGGGAAUCUCAUCAAUGUGUGCAAAGAGGGGGUGUAGAGGAGACAAACUCUUCUCAGUCCUAUCAAUUGAAAGGAAAAGAGGCAAAAGGCACAGACUGAACCACAGGAAAUUCCAUUAAGAAAAUUUAAGUAAAAGACAAUUUUUCUACAAGCUUGAUCCAACACUGGACAAAGUUGCCUGGUGAGAUUGUGGAAAUAUCCCUGGAGAUAUUCAAAAUUUAACUGGAAACAGUCUUAAGCAACCUGUUCCCAUUGACUCUUCAUUUGGCAGGAGGUUGGACCAGACAGCUCCAGAGGUGCUGCCCAAACUCCACAUUGCAAUAAGUGAGGAAAUAUUUUUUUUUAAUUUCUUCUUCAUUCAUUUUCUUUGCAGAAUUAAUAAAUUGAUUAAUUCGCCUUCUGUUUUGGGUUGGGGUUUCUGCUUUUUUCCCUCCUUUAUCAACUUUAUUUUUUCUCAUUUUGAGGAUCCUGCUCUCUAAUUUUAGAGGUUAUUGUAAUCUUCUGGCAGGUCUGCAAAGGUUGAAACCUUUAUUCAUCUGUGCAUGAAGUUUCAGAAUAUUACUGAGUGCCCCACUGAAAAACUGAAAACAAAUAAAAGAUAGGCAUGGAUUGUAGCAGAAACUGAAAUGAAAAUACUCUUCUUAACGUCACUGCAGAAACUGAAUUUAUUUCAAUUUACUUUUCAACUGAAUAGGGAAAGAACUUGUAACAGGUAAAGAUUAAUUUUCCUAUAACUACCUAUAAACUGAAGAACUGACCAAGAAUGAGAGCCGACAUCCUAAUAAUAGUGGUAGGGUGAAAUUAUUGUAUAAGAACAGAAAUUUGUAAUUUAAAUCUUUUGGGGGAGUGGUUUUAAGAAAAUGGAAAUACCAAAGUUGAAUACCCAUGAAAACCAUAAUUAAAAUUAUCAGUAAAUACUGCCCUGCAGCCUGCUGUUACAGCUGAGACAGUUUUGCAAUGUCUUGGAUGCCAUGAAAGUGAUUUAUAUGCUUCUCUUCCUAAAUGUUAGGGAAAACUAUAUUCUGUUGACUUAACAUAUUUCCUGCUUUCCAUGAAUGAUUGUGACUGACCUGUUGAUUUAAUAUUCUUUUUAGCUAGGUUUUCAAAGUAGUGUUUGAUCAUGUAAUGACUGGCAUGACGUAAACUCAGCAGAGUACCUUGCCAGAGUGAUGGCAACACAAAUACUGCUGCAUAAAGGAUGGAAAUACAGCAAACCAUUUAAAUGAUUAACACAUUUUCUGUUACACAGGCUGGAAGAAAAUUACAUAAUGAUUCACAAUGUUUUGUUAUUGUUACAGUUACUUGUAUUUCGAUUGUGGUAACAUUCAAAGAUUGUUCAACUUAGCUGCAAAAAAAACCCUAUCAAAAUCCAUAAAAACUCACAGGCAAGCAGAGACAACAUUGUGUUACACUACACACAUUAGUUGUGGAAGAUCUUUAAAUCAGACAUCAGGUUUUGUCCUUUCAAAAUUUCUUUGUUUCUCCUCCUUAACAUUAGUUUUUUAACUAUUUGUUCCAGUUGGCCUGCACAGGUAUUUCUUGCUGUGUUGUUUGUUUUUUUUCUCUUGUAGUACUCUGAAAAAUUCAACUGUCUGGUAUAUUUAUAUCAUGUGAGCAUUUAAUGAAUGUUAUUAGAUCAUCUUUUUGCUCAUCCAAAAUUCUAAGCAGAAUGUCUCUUCUGUGCCUUACCUGCCUCAUUUCAACAAUGCCCCAAGCACUGAAUUUUUCACAGUGGUAUCCAGGCUGAUUUCCAGACAGACCAAUUUAUGUAUGGUUAAUGGUUGGCCUCAAUAUUAGAGGCCUUUUCCAAUCAUGAUUCCAUGGCUCUAUGCUGACUGGAAUCCCUCACAACAUUACUAUGCCUGUUGACCAGAUUAUUAUCUGUUGAAUAAGAUGAGAAUGAAUAAAAGCAAGGACUUCUUUAACUGCCUUGAAGGUGGAAAACAAAAUCAGGCACUGGCAGUGGAAAGAAGACAUCCCUUAGGCCCCAACAGAAAGACUCAGAAACUUGAACCAGCAUUUUCUUGCUCUGAAGAAAUCCACUGACGAGUGUUCUAAACUUCACUUUUCUGAAUUUUCUUAGCAACAGCAAGGAUUAUUAAUUUUAGUUAAAGACUUUUUCAGAAACAAAGACUUGUAGGAGUCACUGAGGUGUUUGUCUGACUCCUUUCUGCGCCAUGCUUGGCAACCCAAAACAGGGUAAAAAUGGCCAGUUUAGAAACAACAGCUGAAAGACCCAAAAGACAGUUUCCAUCAAACAUUAGUUGUUUUUAUGUUCAGCUGGGAGUGUUUGAGCUAUUUAUGUAGUCCAGAUAGAGAAAUUAACAUUUCUGAAUAAUUUUAGAACAAAAUAUGAGUGGGACCAUGCUGAGUAUACCAUAUUCUUAUAUAAAAAUAUUUUCCAUUAUAUUUUGUGGGACAUUCUUAACCCAAAGGUUUCAUGAAAAAAUGUAGAGCAUUGUUGCAACAAUAUAGAGGGAAAUAGCACAUAGCAGAAUGACACUUGCUUGCCAUAGAGUAUGGAUUAAAAUGUAGUCAAUGCCUUUGCUUGAUUCUAACUUGAAUGAAGGUAUGGUAAUACUACAGGAUUUAUACUGCAGGUAAAACUGUGUCAAAUAUUUCUGUCUCUUUUCUUACUGCUUUUUAAAUUCACGUGAGUUAUAGCCAGAAUGCUAAAACUAAGAGGUAGAGCAUGAAGAACAUAUCUCUGUCAAAAAUAUUUAUUUAUCCAGGUGGCACAUUUAUUUAUCCAGGGGGACACAAAGAUAAAAAUAUUUUCAUCAACAUCAUCAUUUGUACUGCAAACAUGUUGGGUGCAAUGGCUGGAGGAGGGAUCUUGGGCGCUGUGAAAUCACAUAAUAGAAAGUAGCUCUUGUUCUAAAGUUUAUGCUUAAAGUUCAUACAUCAGACAGCAAGGAGAUGGAGCAGGAACUCCUGGGUGUGACUGGAAAGUGAGGCAUUAGAGGCUGAGUACCUGGCUCAGUAUAGCUCAGAAAGCUAUAGCAGCUGCAGGAGCUGCUCUCCCCUAAAUCUCAGCCAGCUCUUCAAUAGUGGUCUCAAGUAAAAAGGAGAAUUAGAAGACAAAUAAAUUGACUAACUUUUAAUCUUCCUUCCAUGACAGCUUUAACUGCUUCAAUUUUAAGUUCAGAUGAAGGUUGAGUCUUGUCUUAUUUUAUCUAAAUGAGUUCAUCUGUCUCCUAUCAUGGCUUUACUUUGUUACGCACUUUAGCCUUCUGCUCUUUUUCAUGUGAGGUAGUAAAUACUGGUUCUUUUCAGCAGCUAAAAUGUCAGAACACGAUCAUUUUGCAUGUGCUAGAUAAAAUCUGUGAAAUGCUGGAUUUCUUUUCCAGUGACCUCUGGAAUGAAAUCACAGUUGUUAGGGCUAAAGGACUGGCAGUGACAUCCAGGGUCAACAAACCCAGUGCAGAGAGUUCAGUCCAGCAUCACAUUUAUGAUCUCUCUCACAUGCCCACAGACUGUUGAAGGUCUUUUGCUUUGUUGGUUCUUUUAAAAAGUUUGACCACUUCACUGCAAGCAGACACUAGAUUAGGAAACAAAUUAUUGCUCUUUGUUGGAUACUGAAGCCGGCAUCCUCAAAUAGAAAAGAGCUUACGGGAACAGUCAUAUUUUAUGUAGGUGAUCUGGUGGGGGGUAUUGUUGCUGGAUUCUGCCUCACACAUUAGUGGGUGUGGUGAGUUCCUGACUCCAUUAUUACUCAUCUCAGGGAUGCUGCCCACCUUAUCUUUCUGUAUUUCAGUUUCCCCACUUAUCCCUAGGGAUAAGAAAUGUGGAAUGCCUACAGAUCUGCUGGUGAACAGCUUUAUGUAAGAGCUGCAUUCAGUCUGAGGCAGGCCAGAGCAAUCCAGGCAUUUUUCAACUUCUGUUAUUUACUCCAAAAUUUGAUGUGACUCCCAAAAAUAACCGGAGACAGACUACAGGGAUAGCUGUCAUUAUUAUCUGACCAGCUGUGCCACCUGCAAACUUUUAAGCAAGUAAAGAGGCAUACAUGAAGUCAUGACUUUGUGUCACCUAACAGUUCAUCUUGUGCAACACAGCAGAGCCUCACGAGGCACAAAACAAGAAACAGGACACACAGUUGUGUGUGAUAAAAUGCUCUGCUGAGAGUACUUUACCACCCUUGGGAUGUGCACCCUGCAAAAUGCAGCAGAGGGUCGGAGAGUGGAGGUAUCAUUUUGACAUUCGCAGAAUGCUCUGGGAGCCUGCAGCACCUCGUCUCCCACUGAGCCUCAGUGCCACCACGUACUGAUUGGAAAUUAAGAUCACAUGUGAGUUUUCACAGGUAUAAACCUUGCAUGCACAUCCUGGGGGGGCCCUUCCAACUGGCAGUCAUCCUUGGACCAUUUUGGCUGGGUCUAUAUUGUGCUCCAAAAUCACUCCUGGAGGCUCUCUUUCUGAGAGCAGUGCAGCUUGGAGCUCUUCAUCAGUGCAGGCUUUCAGAGAGCUCCUGAGUACCAAUGGCCUUCACAUUCUCACCACCCUUUGGCACAAGUGGGGAAGAGUCCCUUAAAAGGCUUUUUAACAGUCCAGGCUACUGACUUUGAUUGCUUCACAAGAUCUUCAUUGCAAGGGCAAACCCCAAAUUUUAAGCAGGGGAGAGCUUAAAACAUGAAUGACUUUCUCAUGCUGGGUGUAUAAGAAAUCCCUAUAUCACAUUUUUUUCCACCCUUUCUUAGCUCAAGAGCCUGCCCUCAGAGUACAAAGCCUUGGUCAAGCCAGCUUUGUGAAGACAAAAAAAACCAGGCACUUAGGAUCUCAAAGUGUAUAGAUCUGUACUGUGUUAUGACAAGCCCAUUCUAUGUAUUGAAUAAAUCUAAUUUCCUGAUAAAUCAAGCAAAAUUAAAUGAAAAAUACUUUAUCAGUUUUUGUCUUUAAUUGAAUUGAAUUUUAAAGAUGCUUCAAUUUUCAGAAUCAUGCACCACCAUUUUAAUAGCACUGGACACACUGUUAGCUGAAAGACCCAGAUUUUUGGAUUAUUUUGGUAUUUUCAGUGGUCACUAAAAGUGAAAAGUAAUUUCCUGGAUAAUAAGUGCAUCAAGCAAUGCAUGUUUUUCCUCAACCUGUUAAAAUUAUAACAGGGCAGUUCCCUUCUUUGGGGUUGCUGCUCUGCUCCAGGUUUUUAUCUCUUCAUGCAUAUCUGUAUAAUCUAGAGUCAAACUUUGAGCAAUCAGUACCACCAGGACAGUGUUUUUAAUGAGAAGAGCAGUUAAAUAAAUGGAAUGUCAUUAAGACAUACGACUGUUUUGGAGAUGAUGGCAAGAGUGUAACAGAAAGUUAGUUUAAAAUAUUGCUUGCUACACUUUUAUUUUUAACGCAUAUGAAAUUAUAGAAACAAAGCACUUCAACUAGCUGAAGAAAUAGAAACUUUUUGCACACACAGUUUCAAAUCCCAGUUGUAUUUCAGCCUCCUGUGUCUCUUGGACUGUAAAAGAGGGAUCUGGACAGUCUCUCAAUGUCCCUGACUCAUAAAUC
Molecule: long non-coding RNA, 9744 nt
Organism: Parus major (Great Tit)
Lineage: Eukaryota; Metazoa; Chordata; Aves; Passeriformes; Paridae
Exons: 3
Source: RefSeq, a predicted model, not a curated record